Molecule: ribosomal RNA, 449 nt
Filed under: uncultured bacterium
Lineage: Bacteria
Description: partial 16S ribosomal RNA
Rfam family: Bacterial small subunit ribosomal RNA
Source: RNAcentral
AACGAACGCUGGCGGCAGGCCUAACACAUGCAAGUCGAGCGAGAACUUCGGUUCUAGCGGCGGACGGGUGAGUAACGCGUGGGAACGUGCCUCUUGCUACGGAAUAGCCUCGGGAAACUGGGAGUAAUACCGUAUGUGCCCUACGGGGGAAAGAUUUAUCGGCAAGAGAUCGGCCCGCGUUGGAUUAGGUAGUUGGUGGGGUAAUGGCCUACCAAGCCGACGAUCCAUAGCUGGUUUGAGAGGAUGAUCAGCCACACUGGGACUGAGACACGGCCCAGACUCCUACGGGAGGCAGCAGUGGGGAAUCUUAGACAAUGGGGGAAACCCUGAUCUAGCCAUGCCGCGUGAUCGAUGAAGGCCUUAGGGUUGUAAAGAUCUUUCAGUGGGGAAGAUAAUGACUGUACCCACAGAAGAAGCCCCGGCUAACUCCGUGCCAGCAGCCGCAGUAA